This 75-nucleotide transfer RNA is filed under the name Cordylochernes scorpioides. RNAcentral's name for it is "tRNA-Thr". The record is from RNAcentral. Lineage: Eukaryota; Metazoa; Arthropoda; Arachnida; Pseudoscorpiones; Chernetidae.
UGUCAAGGGAUGGGAAUCGAACCCACGACCUUCCGCUGACCGGGCAGAUGCCAUGACCACUAGGCUACCCUGGAC